Molecule: long non-coding RNA, 257 nt
Filed under: Mytilus galloprovincialis (Mediterranean mussel)
Lineage: Eukaryota; Metazoa; Mollusca; Bivalvia; Mytilida; Mytilidae
Source: RNAcentral
GGUUAUAGUUAAAUUUUUGUGUUUUGGUCUGUUUUUCUCAUACCAUAUGCAAUAGGUCUACUAUAUUUGUUGUAUGGAAUGAUUGUUAAUGGUACAUGUCUAGCGGGCAGAUGUCAUGUGACCUUGACCUCAUUUUCAGGGUUCAGUGGUCAAAGUUAAGUUUUUGAGUUUUGGUCUUUUUAUCUAAUACUUUAUGCCAUAGGUCAACUAUAUUUGGUGUAUGGAAAUAUUUUAUGAUCUUUAUGUCAGUGGAGCAG